UCAAGCGAAUAAGUGCAUAUGGUGGAUGCUUGGCGAUCACAGGCGAUGAAGGACGUGGUAGCCUGCGAAAAGCUACGGGGAGCUGGCAAACAAGCUUUGAUCCGUAGAUAUCCGAAUGGGGAAACCCACUGCGUAAGCAGUAUCCCUGGCUGAAUACAUAGGCCAGUGGAGGCGAACCGGGUGAACUGAACAUCUCAGUAGCUCGAGGAAAAGAAAUCAACCGAGAUUCCGAAGUAGCGGCGAGCGAAAUCGGAACAGCCUUUACGAUUUAGCCAUCCGUAUAGUCGAACAGUCUGGAAAGUCUGGCCGUAGCAGGUGAUAGCCUGUAGACGAAAUGCGGGUGGUGGAACUAGGCGUAAGAGAAGUAGGGCGGGACACGUGAAAUCCUGUCUGAAGAUGGGGGGACCAUCCUCCAAGGCUAAAUACUCGUGAUCGACCGAUAGUGAACCAGUACCGUGAGGGAAAGGCGAAAAGAACCCGGAAGGGGAGUGAAAUAGAUCCUGAAACCGUAUGCAUACAAACAGUCGGAGCCUCUUUAUGGGGUGACGGCGUACCUUUUGUAUAAUGGUCAGCGACUUACAUUCAGUGGCAAGCUUACCGGAUAGGGAAGGCGUAGCGAAAGCGAGUCCGAAUAGGGCGUUCAGUCGCUGGGUGUAGACCCGAAACCAGAUGAUCUAUCCAUGGCCAGGUUGAAGGCACGGUAACACGUGCUGGAGGACCGAACCCACUAGUGUUGAAAACUAGGGGAUGAGCUGUGGAUAGGGGUGAAAGGUAAACAAAUCUGGAAAUAGCUGGUUCUCUCCGAAAACUAUUUAGGUAGUGCCUCAAGUAUUACUGCGGGGGGUAGAGCACUGUUAUGGCUAGGGGGUCAUGGCGACUUACCAAACCAUGGCAAACUCCGAAUACCCGCAAGUACAGCUGGGAGACAGAGCACCGGGUGCUAACGUCCGGACUCAAGAGGGAAAACCCAGACCCCAGCUAAGUCCCAAAUUAUCGCUAAGUGGGAAACGAAGUGGGAAGGCAUAGACAGUCAGGUUGGCUUAGAAGCAGCCAUCCUUUAAAGAAAGGUAAUAGCUCACUGAUCGAGUCGUCCUGCGCGGAAGAUGUAACGGGGCUAAGCGAUAACCGAAGCUGCGGGUGUGCACUUUUAGUGCACGCGGUAGGAGAGCGUUCUGUAAGCCUGCGAAGUGGCUUGUGAAGGCUGCUGGAGUAUCAGAAGUGCGAAUGCUGACAUGAGUAGCGAUAAAGGGGGUGAAAAGCCCCCUCGCCGUAAGUCCAAGGUUUCCUGCGCAACGUUCAUCGGCGCAGGGUGAGUCGGCCCCUAAGGCGAGGCAGAGAUGCGUAGCUGAUGGGAAGCUGGUUAAUAUUCCAGCACCGUCGUACAGUGCGAUGGGGGACGGAUCGCGGAAGGUCAUCAGGGUUGGAAGUCCCUGUUGCUGCAUCGAAGAUGGCGCUUAGGCAAAUCCGGGCGCGUGAAUCAAGGGUGUGGCACGAGCGAGCAUGUCUCGCGAAGUGAUUGGAAGUGGUUCCAAGAAAAGCCUCUAAGCUUCAGCUGUACGAGACCGUACCGCAAACCGACACAGGUGGACGGGAUGAGUAUUCCAAGGCGCUUGAGAGAACUCAGGAGAAGGAACUCGGCAAAUUGAUACCGUAACUUCGGGAUAAGGUAUGCCCGGUAGUGUGAUGCGCCUGCGCGCAAAGCAUGAUGGGGUCGCAGAGAAUCGGUGGCUGCGACUGUUUAUUAAAAACACAGCACUCUGCAAAGACGAAAGUCGACGUAUAGGGUGUGACGCCUGCCCGGUGCCGGAAGGUUAAGUGAUGGGGUGCAAGCUCUUGAUCGAAGCCCCGGUAAACGGCGGCCGUAACUAUAACGGUCCUAAGGUAGCGAAAUUCCUUGUCGGGUAAGUUCCGACCUGCACGAAUGGCGUAACGAUGGCCACGCUGUCUCCUCCUGAGACUCAGCGAAGUUGAAAUGUUUGUGAUGAUGCAAUCUACCCGCGGCUAGACGGAAAACCCCAUGAACCUUUACUGUAGCUUUGCAUUGGACUGUGAACCGGCCUGUGUAGGAUAGGUGGGAGGCGCUGAACUCGAGUCGCCAGAUUCGAGGGAGCCAUCCUUGAAAUACCACCCUGGUUUGUUUGCGGUUCU
Molecule: ribosomal RNA, 2148 nt
Filed under: Bordetella trematum
Lineage: Bacteria; Pseudomonadati; Pseudomonadota; Betaproteobacteria; Burkholderiales; Alcaligenaceae
Description: bacterial LSU rRNA
Rfam family: Bacterial large subunit ribosomal RNA
Source: RNAcentral